This 4122-nucleotide long non-coding RNA is filed under the name Glycine max (soybean). RNAcentral describes it as "long non-coding RNA (GMAX_LNC004622)". Lineage: Eukaryota; Viridiplantae; Streptophyta; Magnoliopsida; Fabales; Fabaceae. The record is from RNAcentral.
ACUGGACAUUUCCUCACGCUUCUUCUUUGCGCGUUUGUGUGUUCCGAGCUUUCUCUUUGCAACCUUCAGUGCCCUCUUAUCCUUCCCAACCUUCAGCAACUCAGUUAUACGCUUUUCAUAGGGUGCAAAACCGGCUACCUCUCUUAUGAGGUUCCUCACAAAGUGCACCCUCUUGCUUGUUUUCUGUUUUGAAUCCAUAUAAUUGUAGGACCACAUAUAGACCACAUAAUUUAAAACACUUUCAAGAAAAAUCAAUCAAAUACACUUCCAACACCAUAAUCUGCCUGAUAUGUCUAUAGAAUGAAUGCAUUAAUAAAAGGGAGAGUGAAUGCAUUCACUUUCAAGCCUUAUUAAGAGCGAAUGAAUUAAUAAAAGGGAAAAUAGAUCACCAAAGAUUGAGAUCAGUUCGGAAAAUAAAUUGACGCAAAUAUGGGUUCAAAAUCUUACUUCUCCCCACAAAGAACACCUAUAGUAAGAACUAAAAGUAACAAUUUUCAAAGUUUGGCUUCUAUGUUUGCAAUCUUUUCUAAUGUCUAGGAAAAGUAAUUGUCAUAAAAAAUAGGAGUUACCCUCGUAUAAGAAAACUACUAAAAUUGAUCAGAAACCCAACAGAAACAAUAGUAGGAACAGAAAAUUGCAAAACACAAACAGACUCUUUGUUAUUCAGAACUUAGAAAGACGCCCACUUAUUCUAAAAAGACAGCCACUGCAUUUUAUGACACUUUGAUUCCAACACCACCACUUACAAUCUAAAAAAGGUUCAAAUAUGAGAAUAAAAAAACUGAAUCACAUUUGAAAAAGAAACAUUGAAAAAACUUACCCCCUUACGAUCUGAGGGGCGUGGAGGCAAUUCCUUCUUGGUGACGACGUGACCCUUGUUCAGUCCAACAAACAGACCCGUACUAGGCGGUUUGGGAGCCAUUUCCCUGUCCCAAAAACAAACACGCUUCAGAAUUGUUUCGCUUAUGGCUCAUGCAAUCACAAGUUAAUGUUGAACAGUGAUUUUCAAUUUCGCAUUAAACCGAGCAAGGAUCAGAAGCAGCCAUUAUUACCUCUAGGUGGAGAAACCCUACGAGCAGAGUGUAUGCGGAGAGGGAGAAAAGAGCAACUAGGGUUUUUGUAGAGGCUGUUUCCCUUUUUAUUUGAGACUCAAGUCGGGUCGCUGAUCCAACUUCAAUUGGGCCGAACUACAAGUAGAAUUGUCAAAAAAACAAUCACAGAAAAAAAAAUGCACGAUUAUAUCAAUCUAUAAUAAUACGUCCAAAAAUAAUUUUUAAUAGGAAUGUUUAUACAUGUCAUCCUCAAGAGUUCUAAACAAUAAAUUUAUUUUAUUUUAAAAAAAAUCAUUUUAAAUUAUAUAAUAGUUGUAAUGUCAUUAUAAUAAUUGAUUAGAAUCAGAUUUUUUAUGAUUACAAUACUGAAAAUGAUUAACAAUUAUCUAUCACAAUUAUACAUAUUAUAUUUUUUAUUGCAUACUUAUUAUUAUUAUUAUUAUAUAAGUAAUAACAGAUGCUUUAAUUGCCAAUAAUGAAUAUGAAAUUACUUAAAAUAUUUUAUACACAUUUUUUUAUUGAAUUUAAAUGUAUUUUGGUUUUCUUAUUUUCACAAUUUUGAUAUUUUCAUUUUAAAGUAGAGACAUUUGUUUACUCUAUUUAAAAAAAAAUCUAUCAUUUUAAUGCUCAUGUUUGAAAAUAGAGACAUUUUGUUCUAUUUUAAAAAACUCACAAUUUUGGUCAACAUAUUUUAACAAAUUUAUGUUUUAUUUUUUACAUUAUAAUUAAUUAAAUUAUUUUUUAUAACAUCUUAAAUGAAUGUGUUACCUUUAUAGUUCAAUUAGUUCAAUUGUAUUAAAAUAAAAUAAAUAAUUGUAGGUAAAAUUGAAGAUUUGACUAAAAUUAUAAUUUUUUUAAAAUAAAAGAAUUAAAUAUCUUUAUUUUAAAAUAAAUAAUUAAAAUCACAUUUUUUUUUAAAUAUAUACAGCAAAUAUCUCUAAUUUAAAAUGAAAAAACUAGAAUUAUGGAUUGAAAGGAAGACUAAAAUUGUAUUUAAGAAUUUUGAAUAAAUAUUUGUCAAUUUUGAACGAUAACCUUCUUUGCUAAUUAAAGAAGUUGAUAUUUAAAUUAAGUAAAAAAAUUGAUAUCAAUAGAAGAAACUUUAAUAUUUAAAAACAAAUAGAAAUAUCUUCUAUUUGCAUAAUAAAUUAACAAAAUUUAAAUUUGAUUUAAUUGAUUUAUAGGCUAAAAUACAUAAUUUUAUUUUUUAUGAAGAAAUAGAUAAUUCUAUAAAAUAAAAAUAUUCCACAUGAAAUACAAAGGAGCAAAGCAAGUUGCAGGUGAUUGUAGAGGAGUUAAGAAGCUCAAUAAAAAGUUUAAGACCUGAUCUCCCUUUUUGGUGCGUUGCCAUGUUCAGCAAAUUUUGGAAUACAUUACUUAUGUAAAUAAGUCAAUUUUUUGUAUAAGUUGGAAUACAAUAAGGAUGGCGAAAACAUUUUGCACAUGACGCAUUACGAGAGUUAAACUAAAAUAUUCAUUACUUAUCACAAAAGAAUAAUAUUACUUCAAAUUACAUUUUCCACAGUAAUAUUCUUUCUCUAGUUCUAACGCAUCUAACAAUCCUAUCUUCUUCUCUUAUGUUUUUUUUUAAAAAAAAUGCAUAAAAAAAAAAUACGCCCAAAUAACAUAACUCUUAAAAAAAAUAUCACCAUCCCUUCCUGGCGGCACCAAAAAUAAACACAUCCCAUGUAAGUCAUUUGGUUUGCAAAGCAUCACAGCUUGCAAUAAGGCAUGCAAAGCAUCACAGCUUGCAAUAUAAGCAACCCUUAGGCUUUAGCAUGAAAUAUUACCCUCGGGCAACUAAUAAGAUGCAAAGUUCACUUGAAAAAGGAUUAUAACUCUCAUUUCUAGCAAAACAGAAAAUAAUCCAAUCUAGCUUCUUCCAUAAAUCAUGUCUCAAUUAAGCAAAACAUAUUUCUCAAACAAAAUCUUGAAAUAAACUAAUUGAACCAAAGCAAAAAUAUGAAAGCUCGUCCAUCAAUACACAGGUCCAUCUAGUGAAUCUGGAAAAGAGUAAAUAAAUAAGACUUAUUUCUUCUUGUCUCCAGCACCACCAGCCCUGCACAAAAAUGAAAACAGCAUCAUAAGUAAUAGCAACCACUACCAAGAAACUACCAUUCAAGAAUGCCAAUCACGUUUAUAUAUUACAUUGUAUGCAUAAUAUGAACAAAAGAACAUAGAACAACCUCAUCUUCCUGAGAACACUGGACAUUUCCUCACGCUUCUUCUUUGCACGUUUGUGGGUUCCAAGCUUUCUCUUUGCAACCUUCAGUGCCCUCUUAUCCUUCCCAACCUUCAGCAACUCAGUUAUACGCUUUUCAUAGGGUGCAAAACCAGCAACCUCUCUUAUGAGGUUCCUCACAAAGUGCACCCUCUUGCUUGUUUUCUGUUUUGAAUCAAUAUAAUAUUAUGACCACAUAUAAGAUAUAAAAACAAAGUUUCUGAUGCCUUUCUUAAUUAUUUCUAUAGUGGAUGAGGAUGAAUUACCCAUCUAGUUUUUCCUCCCAUUCUUUCAUCUUAUCCAUCACACGGCAUGAUUUAAAACAUUUUAACAUAGAUCCAUUAGAAGCUUCCAACGUUUAAUCUUAAUAGUCAUUUUAAAGGUCAACGCAUUUAUAAAAGAAAGAGGAUAUAGGUCUCCAAAGAUUGGGAUCAGUUUGGAAGAAAAAACGACGAAAAUAUGGGUUCAAAAUUUGAGUGCUUACUGGCAAACAACACCUGAAGUAAGAACUGAAAGUAAAAAAAAGAAGAUCAAAUCUUUGCUGCUGUAUCACAGUUUUUUUCUAAUGUAUAGACAAAGUAAUUGUAGUGAAAAAGGGGGACUUGGACUCAUAAGAAAGUAACUAAACUUAAUCAGAAACUUGAUAUAUACAAUAGAAGGGACAGAAAGUUGUAAAACCCAAAUAGCCUCUUUGUUAAAUAAAUGCCUCUGUCAUCAUUCUAAUUAGAAAGACAACCACGUAUUCUAAAAAGACAGACAAUGCAUUGGAUGACACUUUGAUUCCAACACCACCACUUACAAUCUAAAAAAAGGUGCAAACAUAUAACUGAAUCACAUUUGAAAAAAAGA